Molecule: ribosomal RNA, 253 nt
Filed under: uncultured bacterium
Lineage: Bacteria
Description: partial 16S ribosomal RNA
Rfam family: Bacterial small subunit ribosomal RNA
Source: RNAcentral
UACGUAGGGCGCAAGCGUUAUCCGGAAUUAUUGGGCGUAAAGAGCUCGUAGGCGGUUUGUCGCGUCUGCUGUGAAAACGCGAGGCUCAACCUCCAGCCUGCAGUGGGUACGGGCAGACUAGAGUGCGGUAGGGGAGAUUGGAAUUCCUGGUGUAGCGGUGGAAUGCGCAGAUAUCAGGAGGAACACCAAUGGCGAAGGCAGCACUCUGGGACGGUACUGACGCUGAGACGCGAAAGCGUGGGGAGCAAACAGG